Lethenteron reissneri (Far Eastern brook lamprey) is the source of this 1063-nucleotide long non-coding RNA. RefSeq lists it as uncharacterized. NCBI's taxonomy places the organism in Eukaryota, Metazoa, Chordata, Hyperoartia, Petromyzontiformes, Petromyzontidae. The record is from RefSeq and is a predicted model, not a curated record.
ACACACCUGAGUUCACGCCCUUGCCACACCCAAGCCGACUCCUAUUUAACCUGGAGAGCUUCCCUGGAUCUCCACCUGCAAGUGACCACCAAAUCUUCUCUGUGCACCAUCGCAAAGCGUCCCAACCACACCCGAACCAUGAAUGAGGAUAGCCUCCGCAAAGCCUUCAAGGCUAUCGACAAGGAUAACUCGGGCAAGCUGUCCGCGGCAGAGCUUCAGGAAGCCCUGAAGAGCAUCGGCCAUGACAUUCCCCUGGACCAGGUGAAGAAGAUCGUGGCGUCCAUCGACAAGUCCGGCGACGGACAGAUUGACAUCAACGAGUUCGUCGGUGCCUUCAAGAACAAGUGAUCGACGCCGCCACUUCCACCACCUCCGCCGACAACACCACCGCCACCACCGACCACGAGCCCAAGGGACGAUUCGGAGUUUUUGUGUCUCAACUUCUCACUUCGGCCAAUCAACGACGGCGCCCGUCGUUGAUUUUUAUUUUCAACAACAACAACAAAAACAUCGAUUUGCGUUUCUCCACUCUUAAACGAUCGUCGAUUGAUUAGGUUGAUGGCACAAAAUACGAAUAAUGAUAAUAACAAAUAAAUAUCGACUUGGAUGAUUAAAAUGUUUGAUUCAAGGAAGCCGAACAAAUGUGUACCCUUACAUUCAAAUGUGGGAUUAAGUGAACAAAAUAUAUCUGGUGUGUUUCCAGCUGCGCAGUGCUCAACACCGUACGUCACGGCCACUAUUUUUAAUCCCGAGUUGAACUGCAAUCGUACACAACAAUCAAACAACUUAAAGCUUAACACGUCCCGCAAAUCAUCCCCACCGAGAGAUCAACACGGCACCCUCGCCGGGUUGAAGGUCAUUCAAAUUUGAACAUCUGAGCGGCCUUGUGUGGUGUCCCAGGAGGGGAAAAACAACAACAACAACAAUCUACAUCAUGUGCUGCUACUGUUGUAAUCACAAAUAAAGCGGUUGAGGUUGAUUCGGAGUUGGCUGUGCGCGUGUCCGAAUACUCUUCGCCUGUUGAUGUCACCGGUUGUGGAAUAAAGCGAGAGAAAGACCGCGA